GAAGGUAUAGCUCAGUGGUAGAGUAUAUGCCUGGUACGUACGAGGUGCUGGGAUCAAUCCCCAGUACCUUCA
This is a transfer RNA of Camelus ferus (Wild Bactrian camel), 72 nucleotides long. It matches the Rfam family "tRNA". Rfam says of the family: Transfer RNA (tRNA) molecules are approximately 80 nucleotides in length. NCBI's taxonomy places the organism in Eukaryota, Metazoa, Chordata, Mammalia, Artiodactyla, Camelidae. The record is from Rfam.